GGGGAAUUGUUCGCAAUGGGCGCAAGCCUGACGACGCAACGCCGCGUGGGGGAUGAAGGUCUUCGGAUUGUAACCCCCUGUUGGGUGGGACGAACACUUUCGUGGUGAAUAGCCAUGGAGGCUGACGGUACCACCUGAGGAAGCCCCGGCUAACUCUGUGCCAGCAGCCGCGGUAAUACGAAGGGGGCUAGCGUUGCUCGGAAUUACUGGGCGUAAAGGGCGCGUAGGCGGCGCUGCAAGUCAGGCGUGAAAUUCCUGGGCUUAACCUGGGGGCUGCGCUUGAGACUGUGGUGCUAGAGGAUGAAAGAGGGUCGUGGAAUUCCCAGUGUAGAGGUGAAAUUCGUAGAUAUUGGGAAGAACACCGGUGGCGAAGGCGGCGACCUGGUCCAUUACUGACGCUGAGGCGCGACAGCGUGGGGAGCAAA
Molecule: ribosomal RNA, 425 nt
Filed under: uncultured bacterium
Lineage: Bacteria
Description: bacterial SSU rRNA
Rfam family: Bacterial small subunit ribosomal RNA
Source: RNAcentral